GGGUUGUGAGGUUAAGCGACUAAGCGUACACGGUGGAUGCCCUGGCAGUCAGAGGCGAUGAAGGGCGUGCUAAUCUGCGAUAAGCGCCGGUAAGGUGAUAUGAACCGUUAUAACCGGCGAUACCCGAAUGGGGAAACCCAGUGUGANUCGUCACACUAUCAUUAACUGAAUCCAUAGGUUAAUGAGGCGAACCGGGGGAACUGAAACAUCUAAGUACCCCGAGGAAAAGAAAUCAACCGAGAUUCCCCCAGUAGCGGCGAGCGAACGGGGAGGAGCCCAGAGCCUGAAUCAGCAUGUGUGUUAGUGGAAGCGUCUGGAAAGGCGCGCGAUACAGGGUGACAGCCCCGUACACAAAAGCGCAUGUGCUGUGAGCUCGAUGAGUAGGGCGGGACACGUGGUAUCCUGUCUGAAUAUGGGGGGACCAUCCUCCAAGGCUAAAUACUCCUGACUGACCGAUAGUGAACCAGUACCGUGAGGGAAAGGCGAAAAGAACCCCGGCGAGGGGAGUGAAAAAGAACCUGAAACCGUGUACGUACAAGCAGUGGGAGCACAGGUUUACCUGUGUGACUGCGUACCUUUUGUAUAAUGGGUCAGCGACUUAUAUUCUGUAGCAAGGUUAACCGAAUAGGGGAGCCGGAGGGAAACCGAGUCUUAAUUGGGCGUUAAGUUGCAGGGUAUAGACCCGAAACCCGGUGAUCUAGCCAUG
Molecule: ribosomal RNA, 706 nt
Filed under: Salmonella enterica subsp. enterica serovar Enteritidis
Lineage: Bacteria; Pseudomonadati; Pseudomonadota; Gammaproteobacteria; Enterobacterales; Enterobacteriaceae
Description: partial 23S ribosomal RNA
Rfam family: Bacterial large subunit ribosomal RNA
Source: RNAcentral